This 657-nucleotide ribosomal RNA is filed under the name uncultured fungus. RNAcentral's name for it is "eukaryotic LSU rRNA". It matches the Rfam family "Eukaryotic large subunit ribosomal RNA", at positions 24 to 664 of the family's 3401-position model. The record is from RNAcentral. Lineage: Eukaryota; Fungi.
CCCGCUGAACUUAAGCAUAUCAAUAAGCGGAGGAAAAGAAACUAACAAGGAUUCCCCUAGUAACUGCGAGUGAAGCGGGAAAAGCUCAAAUUUGAAAUUUGGUGGUCUUUGGUCAUCCGAGUUGUAAUUUAGAGAAGCGUCUUCCGCGCUGGACCGUGCACAAGUCUCCUGGAACGGAGCGUCGUAGAGGGUGAGAAUCCCGUCUUUGGCACGGACACACCAGGGCUUUUGCGAUGCGCUCUCGAAGAGUCGAGUUGUUUGGGAAUGCAGCUCAAAAUGGGUGGUGAACUCCAUCUAAAGCUAAAUAUUGGCGAGAGACCGAUAGCGAACAAGUACCGUGAGGGAAAGAUGAAAAGCACUUUGGAAAGAGAGUGAAACAGUACGUGAAAUUGCUGAAAGGGAAACGCUUGAAGUCAGUCGCGUUGGCCGGGGAUCAGCCUCGCUUUUGCGUGGUGUACUUUCUGGUUGACGGGUCAGCAUCAAUUUUGACCGCUGGAAAAAGGCUUGGGGAAUGUGGCAGCUUCGGCUGUGUUAUAGCCCCUUGUCACAUACAGCGGUUGGAUUGAGGAACUCAGCACGCCGCAAGGCCGGGUUUCGACCACGUUCGUGCUUAGGAUGCUGGCAUAAUGGCUUUAAGCGACCCGUCUUGAAACACGG